AGGGAAUUUUCGUCAAUGGGCGCAAGCCUGAACGAGCAAUGCCGCGUGAGCGAAGAAGGUCUUCGGAUCGUAAAACUCUGUUGCGGGGGAAAAAGGAAGGGAAGAGGAAAUGCUUUUCUUUUGAUGGUACCCCGCCAGAAAGUCACGGCUAACUACGUGCCAGCAGCCGCGGUAAUACGUAGGUGGCAAGCGUUAUCCGGAAUGAUUGGGCGUAAAGGGUGCGCAGGCUGCGCGUCAAGUCUGAAGUGAAAGGUACGGGCUUAACCGGUACAGGCUUUGGAAACUGGCACGCUAGAGGACAGGAGAGGGCGGUGGAACUCCAUGUGUAGCGGUAAAAUGCGUAGAUAUAUGGAAGAACACCAGUUGCGAAGGCGACCGCCUGGACUGUUGCUGACGCUCAGGCACGAAAGCGUGGGGAGCAAAUA
Molecule: ribosomal RNA, 425 nt
Filed under: uncultured Allobaculum sp.
Lineage: Bacteria; Bacillati; Bacillota; Erysipelotrichia; Erysipelotrichales; Erysipelotrichaceae
Description: bacterial SSU rRNA
Rfam family: Bacterial small subunit ribosomal RNA
Source: RNAcentral